Molecule: ribosomal RNA, 251 nt
Filed under: uncultured prokaryote
Description: partial 16S rRNA
Rfam family: Bacterial small subunit ribosomal RNA
Source: RNAcentral
ACGUAGGGGGCGAGCGUUGUCCGGAAUUACUGGGCGUAAAGGGUGCGUAGGUGGCCUUUUAAGUUGGAUGUGAAAUCCCCGAGCUUAACCUGGGUGGUGCAUCUAAUACUGGAGGGCUAGAGUGCAGGAGAGGAAAGCGGAAUUCCUAGUGUAGCGGUGAAAGGAGGAGAUAUGAGGAGGAACACCAGUGGCGAAGGCGGCUUUCUGGACUGUAACUGACACUGAGGCACGAAAGCGUGGGGAGCAAGGAG